Molecule: ribosomal RNA, 253 nt
Filed under: uncultured bacterium
Lineage: Bacteria
Description: partial 16S ribosomal RNA
Rfam family: Bacterial small subunit ribosomal RNA
Source: RNAcentral
UACGGAGGGGGCGAGCGUUAUUCGGAAUUAUUGGGCGUAAAGGGCGCGUAGGCGGCUGUACAAGUCAAAGGUGAAAUCCCUCGGCUCAACUGAGGAACUGCCUUUGAAACUGUACGGCUUGAGGCCGGGAGGGGGUAGCGGAAUUCCCAGUGUAGCGGUGAGAUGCGUAGAUAUUGGGAGGAACACCAGUGGCGAAGGCGGCUACCUGGACCGGUUCUGACGCUGAGGCGCGAAAGCGUGGGUAGCAAACAGG